UACGUAGGUGGCUAGCGUUGUCCGGAUUUACUGGGCGUAAAGAGCGCGCAGGCGGUCGUUCAAGUCGAGUGUGAAAGCCCCCGGCUCAACUGGGGAGGGUCACUCGAUACUGAUCGACUUGAAGGCGGGAGAGGGAAGCGGAAUUCCCGGUGUAGUGGUGAAAUGCGUAGAUAUCGGGAGGAACACCAGUGGCGAAGGCGACUUCCUGGCCUGUUCUUGACGCUGAGGCGCGAAAGCUAGGGGAGCAAACGGG
This 253-nucleotide ribosomal RNA is filed under the name uncultured bacterium. Its description in RNAcentral is "partial 16S ribosomal RNA". It matches the Rfam family "Bacterial small subunit ribosomal RNA", at positions 524 to 776 of the family's 1533-position model. The record is from RNAcentral.